This is a long non-coding RNA of Octodon degus (degu), 2684 nucleotides long. RefSeq lists it as uncharacterized. NCBI's taxonomy places the organism in Eukaryota, Metazoa, Chordata, Mammalia, Rodentia, Octodontidae. The record is from RefSeq and is a predicted model, not a curated record. The transcript has 4 exons.
UUUUGACCAUUCUAUGGCUCAAAAUAACUUCACAUCGCUAUACCAGUUAUCCGAAGGUAAGACUGGGGCCUAACAUGUCUGCUGUGAAUAUGUAAUGGAAUGUUUUUCACAGUAAUGUUAUGUUAAACACCACUCAUAAAGGACAGAUAAACGUACCUUUAUCAGUAAGAAAAAUUAAGGCUUUUUCAUGUGAUCUACAACUACUACACAAACUCAAGAAUCAAAGGGAGGCUACGAUCCAGCAAAAUAUGACUUCUAAUCUCUACCAUCUGGAUAUUAGUUCUUCCACCCUAAUUCAACACUUGGUGGGAGGGAAAUAAAAAUGCUUGGCACGUGGUAGACGUCCACCAAAUGCUCCAAAUGCGCUAAGAAGCCUGGCCUCCAAGAGCAGUCCUCCUUGUUCCUGUAAACACUACGUAACUGCCGCCUCUUCACAUCACCAAAGUGGCACCUUUUAAAAAGAAAAUGUCUUCCGGACUACUAGAACAUUACAGAAAGUAAAAGAAAAGGCUAACUGAAGUUACAGAUUACCAAAUCAAGGUCAAAGGCACUGGAUAAGGAAGAUAAUUUCAAAGCAUUGUAAACAAUCUUUAAAGCAAAUUAACUUUUAAAUGUCAAAUUCUAAGAGAAAACACUAAAUUAUGACAAUACUUUAAAAUAGGGGACAAAAUUUUUGUAAUGUCAUAAUGAAAUCUACCUAUGUUCUAGUUUUCUUUUACCCUACAAUGUCCCAAGUUCUAACAAAAAAUGUGCUCUUGGUUGUAUGAAACAAGAGAAAUACAACUUAAAGAACUGUAGAUUUUUUUAAAUGCUAUAAAAUUUAGUAAACUGAAAACCAUGACAUGAAGAUCAUCUUGAAAUUAUAAAAUACUAAACUAUACUCAAUCAACAUUCAGAACAACGGUUCUUAUCUAGUUGAACAGUCUAGUCUCACAAUAGCAAACUGUAGUGUAAAGAGGCAGAGGAGUGCAAGCGUUUUCCAGCACAAAGAAUUACGAAUACUGACUUGAAAUACCACAAGCUCCCUGGCAGAGCCAUUUAAUAUACAUGUUUAAGCAGGUUCUUGAAAAACUAUUUAGAUAAAAUAUUUAGCAUUUAUCAUUAAUUUUAGUUUAUUUGAAUCUAUGCAACUUCCAUCCAUAGUAAAAUAUCAAUUAAUGUAAAUACUUUAGUAUAAAACUAUUUUACAAUUUAAAUUUUAUUUGAGAAAUGUAUUGACAUCCAUUUCUUAAAAGUCCUUUUUAUGAGUGCAUUCCAUGAGAAAUACACAGUCAUUACUCAUGUUUUUGGAGGUGGGGACUAAUAAUCCUACUAAUUCAAAUUAUAUCCUUAUUUUGCCUAUUUCUUAAACAUUUACAUGUUUAAAUAUGACUGGUGAAUAGUGAUCAUUCAACCCAACAGUGGCAAAUUUCACUAUCAUCUUAAAAGACAGGACUACAUUAUAAAAUAGUCACAUAUAGAUUACAUAAUAUACUUAUUCCAUUACAUGUAAGCUUACUUAUAAAGUAAUGUAAAAUGGGCAAUGGAUAACAGUGAUUAAAAAAUGUAAACAAAAAGAAUUAAAUGUUAAUCCCUUCCCUGAAAAAAAGAUAAAAAGUACUUCGUUUUCUUAAAAACAAAACAUGAUCUAUCGUUUUAAAAAGGUAAGACACAGAUUUUACAAAACUAUUUUUCCAAAUACAGACAAAAAAAAAUCUGGAACAGCUGAUUCAGACUUUAUUGAGCUAAAUUAUGCAAAGGAUCUGAUAAUACUUAACUUUAUUAAGAAAAAGCCUUAAGAUUCAACAUAGUGUUUAUCAUCUAAACUUACUAUUGAACCAUUAUUGAAAUAGCAACAACAACAACAAAGGUCCAUUGUAAGAAAAAAACAAGUAAAACUUCAAACUUUUUCUAUUAAUUAUGAUGUGAAAUUAAUUUUAACAAAAAAUAAAAACCCAAUAGCCAAUACCUAUUUGGGCUGUAGAGGAAAAAUAUGAAAUCCCCAUGAAAAGUAUUUCACAUUGAUUCUAAUUUUAAAAAUGCAUAUGGAUUUAAAGUUAUUCUGGUUUAACAGAUUUACUAAUAAGCAAAGAAUUUGUAGAGCAUUUACUUGGUGUUUUUGCUCAGACUCAGAUAUUUGCAAAGUACCUUCAGAGAGGGCUGGAAGGGGAAAAUCAACUUUAAAUUUCCUCUAGAUCACACAGCAGAUGAAAAGGUCUACUAAUUCCCAACUCCAAAACAUGAAUAUGGCAAAACUGUUCAACUAUUUAAUCAUGUUAAUCAAUAGUAACUCAAUACAAGUGAUGAUAGCAUUAAUCUCAAAUGCAUUGGCAAAUUUAAUUUCAAAGUUAACAUUUGCACUGAAAAGUAAUUAUUUUUAAAAAGGUGGAUGAAACAAAACACAAAUUUUAUUUUUCCAGGAAAGAUAACAUUGAUUCUGCCCCUCAAGAAAUUAAAUUAUAAUUUCUCUGUUGAAUUAGAUGUAAAAAAACUGUGAAAGACAAGUAUGGAUACAGAAAAUACAUAAUCUAUGAUGCUUGUAGUAUUUUCAUUAACAUUUACACAACUGGAUGUCAUCUUUCACUGUUUAACAAAAUUUGGAAAGACUAUUUUUCACCAACAUACUACUGCUUAACAAGAGAUAGAUAUACAAAGAAAAAAGAUUUUUUUUUUUUUGUCUUUUUCAGACAGGUUCUUGCCAUGUA